CAGGUCUCCCGUAACUGACGGAAGCAGAUAACUGCAUGGGAACGGGGAAUAAGACUUUGCCGACCGUCUGGGCUCGUGAG
The sequence is a regulatory RNA element, 80 nucleotides long. It matches the Rfam family "ZMP/ZTP riboswitch aptamer (pfl RNA motif)". From Rfam's summary of the family: Previously known as pfl RNA. ZMP is also known as AICAR. The record is from Rfam.